GAUGAACGCUGGCGGCGUGCCUAAUACAUGCAAGUCGAACGCACAGACUAUAAGGUAGCUCGCUUCACCAUAGACUGUGAGGGGCGAACGGGUGAGUCAUGCGUAGCUAACCUGCCUGGGAGCGGGUGGUAACUAUUGGAAACGUAAGCUAAUAUAGCAUAAUAUUAAUUAUUCAAUGGUAAUUAAUGGAAUGGUGCAAUUGCACAACUACUAUCGGGACCGCUGCUGUAUUAGGUAGUGGGGAAGCUAACGGCCGACCAAGGGCAGGACCGAGAGCAGACCUGAGAGGGUGUCCGGCCACCCGGGAACGGGGACACGGCCCAGACUCCUACGGGAGGCAGCAGUGGGGAAUUUUGGCAAAUGGGGGAAAGCUUGCCGGAGCAAGCCCGCGUGGGUGAGGAAGGUUUUCGGUUGGUAAACCCCUUUUAUUGGGAAAGAACAGUGGGAGAGUGAAAUGUGCACGUUGUGACGGUACCUAAUCAGAAAGCGACGGCUAACUACGUG
RNAcentral lists this ribosomal RNA (504 nucleotides) under uncultured bacterium. RNAcentral's name for it is "partial 16S ribosomal RNA". It matches the Rfam family "Bacterial small subunit ribosomal RNA", at positions 28 to 507 of the family's 1533-position model. The record is from RNAcentral.